GUUAGGAGGAAAGUUAUGAGGGAGGAAUUAAAAAUAAUAUUGAAACUUAAGAACGAGGAAGAACAGGAUAACAUCAGCCCCAUUGUGGUGUCAAGAGAGAUAAAAAAGAAAAUUGGAGAUGUUGAAAUGGUUUCCUGAACCUGAUUUUGCCUUGCAUUGAAUCGUGCCUGGAUAAACUGUCUUCUGGAAGGAAGCUAUCCAGUUCCAUGAACAAAGACUCAAGUCUCUCAUGACUUUGUUGGAUCACGCCAGCUGGCGGCCUCCUGAUUCCUGCGUAUCUCGGACCUCCAUCUGCGAACCCUGUCCACCCUCCUUCCAUCGCACCUCUUGGAUUACAAACUCUCCUGGCUUACCAUAUCCACCAACUUCAGUCUCGCCGGCAAACAACCACUUGGUUUCUCCACUCACCCUCUGGCGGAUCCCUCCACCAUUCUUUUUUGCAUCCUGGUUCCAGUUCCCUGCAUUAUUCACCCAGUUGUAAAUAAACACUUUACC
Girardinichthys multiradiatus is the source of this 495-nucleotide long non-coding RNA. RefSeq lists it as uncharacterized. NCBI's taxonomy places the organism in Eukaryota, Metazoa, Chordata, Actinopteri, Cyprinodontiformes, Goodeidae. The record is from RefSeq and is a predicted model, not a curated record. The transcript is spliced from 3 exons.